RNAcentral lists this ribosomal RNA (452 nucleotides) under uncultured bacterium. Its description in RNAcentral is "bacterial SSU rRNA". It matches the Rfam family "Bacterial small subunit ribosomal RNA", at positions 32 to 507 of the family's 1533-position model. The record is from RNAcentral.
AAUCAACGCUGGCGGCGUGCCUAACACAUGCAAGUCGAACGAGAAAGGGGGCUUCGGUCCCUGAGUACAGUGGCGCACGGGUGAGUAACACGUGACUUAUCUACCCUCGAGUGGGGAAUAACUUCGGGAAACCGAGGCUAAUACCGCAUAAUACCCACGGGUCAAAGGAGCAAUUCGCUUGAGGAGGAGGUCGCGGCCCGAUUAGUUAGUUGGCGGGGUAAUGGCCCCCACCAAGACGGUGAUCGGUAUCCGGCCUGAGAGGGCGCACGGACACACUGGAACUGAAACACGGUCCAGACUCCUACGGGAGGCAGCAGUGGGGAAUUUUGCGCAAUGGGGGAAACCCUGACGCAGCAACGCCGCGUGGAGGAUGAAGUCUCUUGGGACGUAAACUCCUUUCGAUCGGGACGAUUAUGACGGUACCGGAAGAAGAAGCCCCGGCUAACUUCGUG